CGUGACCUCCCGCCGGGUGCGGGCCGCGCUCUCCCACCUCACAAAGGUUUCUCCACACCGGAAGCUCUUGGCCUUGGGAGUGCUUGGGACGAGGGCAGCGUCAGCUCUAGCCCUGGGAACGAGUGACUGGGCCGGAACCCCGGGAAGACGAAAGUGCAAGGCCGCAGGGUGAGAGAUCUCCAGGGAGCUGCCAAAUCGAGGGCCUGCCUCCACGUUCCAGAGGAGGGUUCCACUUCCCGGGGGCCUGAGGGGGGCCAAACCCCGAGGCUUCGCUUCGCCCAGCGCCUACAACCCCCGAGGACGCAGGAGUAAUAACUGCCAUUUAACAAAGCUUUUCCUUUUAAUCAGGUGGGAACCCCAUCCAGAGGCUCUGAGGCCAUCACCACAAUCACACCCGCCAUCACCUCUCUCUCUCCCACUUUUGAGUAUUUAGACUGUUGGAUGGCAUAGUGAAAAGAGAUUUGCAGAGGGCUCAUGAAUGUCCUGUAUCAUACCAUGGACCUCAGAGGCAAAGCUGGAAAAGGCUGUUGAAGGCCAGCAUCUCUGUGGGAUCCUCAGCAUGGGAUUUUACACAAGUUUGGAGGAAAUGGUUUCCCAAGCCCAGAGUUGUCACCGCAGCCCAGAUAAGCUUGACCAGUCCAUCCUCUCCUCCCUCUCUCUGCCCCCUUGGCUAAGAUUUUUGCCCAUCUCCUGGAGCCUUUCCAAGGGUUGCACAGGGGAAGCAUGGCCCAACCUCAGGAACUUUGGCUUGGGGGCUAUAAACACAUCCACAGAAGAACUCAGCCUCCAGGCAAUUCUCCCUGGCUUCUUGGCUUCAGUGAAGAAGUCCUGGCUUGUCUCUGGGUGUACACCGACGUCACUCCUGGCUGGCUCCAGGCCCAGGCCGGCAUUUUUUUUGUCGCUAUAAGGACAGCUUCCCUCACCCCAGCUGGGGCCCAGCGACCCCUUUCAGGCAGCUGCCUUUGGAUUUGCUUCCUGUCUCCAGCUCCUCAGCUUCUGAAGACAAUGUCCGGCCAGACCUAGUGCCAACACAGGGCAGCAGGGUUGGGGAGCAGAGAGAAGCUUCACAUUGCAAGCCCUUACAUGGGAAGUGGCUGCGGAGAUGCCUGCCGGCCACAAUCUGCAGCAGCCCCUUGACUAGCUUGUUGUGCCCCAGGCAGCGUUGUCUCUGUCCCCAGCGUGUCUGCCACUUUCAAGUACAAAAGAGCCCAAGGAGAGCAUGCUGAGGGAGAGGGCAGAGGUUCUCAGCCCCGCAUGCAUCCCCCACAGGGCGGCUGACAAGAGGAGGGUUGCUGGUCAGGGUCCCAAAGGGCGGCAGAAUGGAGCCCACAGAGUCUGGCCCUAAUCUCAGUUUGAUACUUCAGGAAGGACUGCAAUGAGAGGCACAGAUGUAAGGUUCACCCCCAGGGAAAGGUCCUGGACCACUUCUUACAUGGAAGAUGAGUACCAGCAGCAACCCCUGGAGGUGUGUCACCUGUAGACCCACGGGUGUGCGGGCUGCAGAUGCAACUGGCAUUUGCAGAGUAUUUUCAGCAAGGGGACCCUGGGAGGAGGAUCCACCUCCAUUUCCCCAUCCACUUUCAUUUCAACUUUUGCCCCGGCCUCAGCUUUACCCAGGCAGUGGUCCGAGGAAAGAUAAGCUCUUUUCGGGAUCCCUGGGUGGCGCAGCGGUUUAGCGCCUGCCUUUGGCCCAGGGCGCAAUCCUGGAGACCCGGGAUCGAGUCCCACAUCGGGCUCCCAGUGCAUGGAGCCUGCUUCUCC
This is a long non-coding RNA of Canis lupus familiaris (dog), 1761 nucleotides long. RefSeq lists it as uncharacterized. Lineage: Eukaryota; Metazoa; Chordata; Mammalia; Carnivora; Canidae. The record is from RefSeq and is a predicted model, not a curated record. The transcript is spliced from 3 exons.